GUGUUCCAUGCUGACUGGUGAUCUCUGACCGGGCCCAAAGCGAGCUCGUGUGCAGGUGUUUUCCAGUCAGGAUCGAUCG
RNAcentral lists this microRNA precursor (79 nucleotides) under Heligmosomoides polygyrus. RNAcentral describes it as "microRNA hpo-mir-10057 precursor". The record is from miRBase by way of RNAcentral. Lineage: Eukaryota; Metazoa; Nematoda; Chromadorea; Rhabditida; Heligmosomidae.